Molecule: non-coding RNA, 23 nt
Filed under: Arabidopsis thaliana (thale cress)
Lineage: Eukaryota; Viridiplantae; Streptophyta; Magnoliopsida; Brassicales; Brassicaceae
Source: RNAcentral
UGGCGGCUUGAUUUGAUUUUUGC